AGGCAAAAAAACACAAUUCCAGGGAUCUUUAUUCAUCAAGAGGUGCAGUUUGUGUAACGCUCUAAAAGAUCGAGUACAAUUUCUACCAACAGACGAUGGAAAAGAAAUAGUAAUGUAUCAGAAAUAUACGUUUUCAUUUUAUGGAAGGCUAGGAAGAACUUACUUGAAAUGCUCGAGGUCAACGACAGGGAAGUGUAAGGCUAAGCUGAAAGUGGAUGCAUCAGGUAACAUACUGGCAGCCAAUGGAGAACACAAUCAUCCACCACCGGUCUAUUGGAAAAAUAAACAAGGAGUUUAUGUCAAAGUUAGAAUAUUAUAAUUAC
Molecule: long non-coding RNA, 323 nt
Organism: Papilio machaon (common yellow swallowtail)
Lineage: Eukaryota; Metazoa; Arthropoda; Insecta; Lepidoptera; Papilionidae
Exons: 3
Source: RefSeq, a predicted model, not a curated record